ACCAUUGAAGGCACUGGUUAUUUUACCAAGGCUUUGACUGGAAUGGCAUGGUUUCAGUUAUAAACAGACUGCUUUAAGGAAUCAAAGUUGACUUACAGAGCUGAUAAAAGGCCCCUAAGAAAAACUGGCCUCACCUCUUGUCUAUAUAGUCCCUAUAUAGGUUUCCUGACCUGUGUUUUUUGACUUGGACUCAAUAAAAUUGCUGCUACCUUUUUACUGAGGCCUUACAAGCUAAAGCUUAUUCCUUGAGACACAGAAGUUCCAGGGAUUGAAUCUUGAGACAAUCUGGGUGCCUAUGGAAUUAUCUCCCACCAGAAGAUUACUUCAAGGCAGCAGCUAAUUUACAACCUGGUCAAGCCUGAGAUGGUGUCAACCCAUUCUCAAGAUGGGACAAUAACUCAAGAUAAGUCAUCAAAACAAGCCACGUAGACCAGCACCACCUCUCACGCCCCCACCCACCACCCCCCACCCACCACAUAUCCUCCAUACCAAACUUCCCCUUCUUAAACCCUAGCAUUUUGCCCAAGAAUUUUGAAGCAGUUUCAUUAAGGCAGGAGCCUGAACCACUUCCCCACUGUUAGCUUUGGAAAAUGAAGUCAAUUUCCUUAUACUGAA
Long non-coding RNA from Homo sapiens (human), 615 nucleotides. RefSeq lists it as uncharacterized. NCBI's taxonomy places the organism in Eukaryota, Metazoa, Chordata, Mammalia, Primates, Hominidae. The record is from RefSeq and is a predicted model, not a curated record. The transcript is spliced from 3 exons.